UACGAAGGGGGCUAGCGUUGCUCGGAAUCACUGGGCGUAAAGCGCACGUAGGCGGACUCUUAAGUCGGUGGUGAAAUCCUGGAGCUCAACUCCAGAACUGCCUUCGAUACUGGGAGUCCUGAGUCCGGGAGAGGUGAGUGGAACUGCGAGUGUAGAGGUGAAAUUCGUAGAUAUUCGCAAGAACACCAGUGGCGAAGGCGGCUCACUGGCCCGGUACUGACGCUGAGGUGCGAAAGCGUGGGGAGCAAACAGG
This 253-nucleotide ribosomal RNA is filed under the name uncultured bacterium. RNAcentral describes it as "partial 16S ribosomal RNA". It matches the Rfam family "Bacterial small subunit ribosomal RNA", at positions 524 to 776 of the family's 1533-position model. The record is from RNAcentral.